RNAcentral lists this long non-coding RNA (1110 nucleotides) under Homo sapiens (human). Its description in RNAcentral is "HSALNT0346667". Lineage: Eukaryota; Metazoa; Chordata; Mammalia; Primates; Hominidae. The record is from RNAcentral.
GGGGAAGUUAAUCUCCCUGUCUAGAGGUCACUGUGAAGCCUGUGGAAAGGAACUGAGACCUCCAGCUGUCAGCCGCAUAAGUGAGCCUUCUGGGAAGCAGCCCCCAGCCUCAGGGAAGCCUUCAGAAGGGUUACAGUGUAAUUUGUCAAGACUGUGAAGCCGCAACGUGAUCUUAUUUUUGUAAGAUAUAAAAAUAUACUGUUAAUAAUUGCGAUAUGUAUCCUAAGUAUCUAUCAUAUCUGACAGGACGCGUGUGUCCGUCAGGAAGUGCUUGGAGGCACAGUGGCCCUCAAGCCUGGAGUCAUCCUUGGCCCGCAGUGAGGCUCAGGUCUGUGCGCAGGUACUCACCAAAUGAACCGAAAACUGCUCUGGGGGCGUUGGUUUGGGGGCAGCUGAACUGGGAGAUCCUUGUGGAAUAGAAGUUGCUUCCCAAAGAUCCCAGAAAAAUAGUACACUGGACCUAGCUCAGAAUGAUCCAGGGGCUCCUGGAGCCUUCUCCAACAUAGCAGACCCUAGAGAGCAGCUGAGGUGUGGGGCAGGAAGCAGGAUACCAGGAUGACCCUGGGCCUCUCCACCCCAACCCUGCCUGUGCACCCCAGGCCCUGGAAGCUGGGCUGGGCUCCUGAGCUUGGCAGCCCAGGCAGUGGCCAGGCCCCUGGGAACCCCUGGGCUUCCCAAGGCAGGAGAGGACAAACAGGCCACCAUCUCUUAUAAUUUCACCUCUUCACUCCUCAGAAGUUGGAAUGUGUCAUACCGGAUAACAUCUUAGAGUCAAUGGUAUUGCUAUAAAUUACAUUCCAGAAAGAUGAUUAAUAAAGCUGACUAAAGUCUGGCCGGGCGCAGUGGCUCACGCUUGUAAUCUCAGCACUUUGGGAGGCCAAAGCGGGUGGAUCCCAAGGUCAGCAGAUCGAGACCAUCCUGGCUAACAUGGUGAAACCCCGUCUCUACUAAAAAAUGCAAAAAAUUAGCCGGGCAUGGUGGCAGGUGCCUGUAGUCCCAGCUACUCGGGAGGCUGAGGCAAGAGAAUGGCGUGAACCCUGGAGGCAGAGCUUGCAGUGAGCCGAGAUCACGCCGUUGUACUCCUGCCUGGGCGAAAGAGCAAGACUCCGU